This 485-nucleotide long non-coding RNA is filed under the name Marmota monax (woodchuck). The record is from RNAcentral. Lineage: Eukaryota; Metazoa; Chordata; Mammalia; Rodentia; Sciuridae.
UGGGAGACCAGCANGAUUAACACAAAUGAGUGACCAGGGUCUGAGCGUGUGGUAGAAUGUGUGCUCAGCAUGUGCACGGCCGUUUGAUCCGCAGCACCAGGAAAGAAAGAAAGAAAGAAAAAAAAAUGACCCUUUUAAGCUCUCUGAAUUGCCUGGACCCCCUUCUCCUUCUAGCGCUUGGGUUCUUGUGGUUGCUAACAAGAAAGAGUGGUUGUAACUAGAUGUAUUGCAUUCUGACCGUGUUCCAUCUGCUCCAUUGAGUGCCUUACACAGAUAUAUGGCCUUAGGACAGGUGCUGUGAUAACGAUAUUGAGGUACAGAGAACUUAAGUAACUUUUAAAGAUUGCACAGUCAGUUCUUACAGCCAGAAUUUGCACAUAAUCUGGAUCUAGAGUCUGCUCUGAAACCUGGCCCCAAUGAUUCUGAAUUUAUUUUCAGAAACAAAUUCUAAAUCUACCCUUAAACAUGUCUGUAAACACUGUGAC